This 311-nucleotide long non-coding RNA is filed under the name Carica papaya (papaya). RNAcentral's name for it is "long non-coding RNA (CPAP_LNC007802)". The record is from RNAcentral. Lineage: Eukaryota; Viridiplantae; Streptophyta; Magnoliopsida; Brassicales; Caricaceae.
AAACUUACCGGCCGCGGUGCUCUCGGGUACGGUGGCUCUUCCGGCAUGAGUCGCAUUUUGAUGUUUGGCUCCAAUCAACCUGUAGAGAAAAGAACGAUGAUCACAGUGGUAUAAAAUUUGCAUCAAACGGUGGCCGGGAAGGGCCUCAUCGGAGGCAAAAACUGAGGAGGGGCGCGGCGGCACCGCUGGGUUUCGGCUGGGUUUUCCGGCCGUUUGGCCGGUGGUUUGGCUUCGGUUUGGCCAUAGGCGGACUCAGCGUCGAAAAACGAGCAAGGGAGAGAAAAAUUACGUCGAUCGACGGUCGGAAACUU